CCUACGGGAGGCAGCAGUGAGGAAUAUUGGUCAAUGGCCGAGAGGCUGAACCAGCCAAGUCGCGUGAGGGAAGACGGCCCUACGGGUUGUAAACCUCUUUUGUCGGGGAGCAAAGCGACCCACGUGUGGUUCAUUGAGAGUACCCGAAGAAAAAGCAUCGGCUAACUCCGUGCCAGCAGCCGCGGUAAUACGGAGGAUGCGAGCUUUAGUCGGAUUUAUUGGGUUUAAAGGGUGCGCAGGCGGAGGGGCAAGUCAGCGGUCAAAUUGCGGGGUGCAACCCCGUACUGGCGUUGAAACUGCAUCCCUUGAGUGCGCGAGAAGUAUGCGGAAUGCGUGGUGUAGCGGUGAAAUGCAUAGAUAUCACGCAGAACUCCGAUUGCGAAGGCAGCAUACCGGCGCGCAACUGACGCUCAUGCACGAAAGCGUGGGUAUCGAACAGGAUUAGAUACCCGUGUAGUC
This 459-nucleotide ribosomal RNA is filed under the name uncultured bacterium. RNAcentral's name for it is "partial 16S ribosomal RNA". It matches the Rfam family "Bacterial small subunit ribosomal RNA", at positions 338 to 795 of the family's 1533-position model. The record is from RNAcentral.